This 301-nucleotide ribosomal RNA is filed under the name uncultured bacterium. RNAcentral's name for it is "partial 16S ribosomal RNA". It matches the Rfam family "Bacterial small subunit ribosomal RNA", at positions 509 to 807 of the family's 1533-position model. The record is from RNAcentral.
CAGCCGCCGCGGUAAUACGGAGGGUGCGAGCGUUAAUCGGAAUAACUGGGCGUAAAGGGCACGCAGGCGGUGACUUAAGUGAGGUGUGAAAGCCCCGGGCUUAACCUGGGAAUUGCAUUUCAUACUGGGUCGCUAGAGUACUUUAGGGAGGGGUAGAAUUCCACGUGUAGCGGUGAAAUGCGUAGAGAUGUGGAGGAAUACCGAAGGCGAAGGCAGCCCCUUGGGAAUGUACUGACGCUCAUGCGCGAAAGCGUGGGGAGCAAACAGGAUUAGAUACCCCCGUAGUCCCUGUCUCUUAUAC